AACGAACGCUGGCGGCAGGCUUAACACAUGCAAGUCGAACGCACCUUUCGGGGUGAGUGGCAGACGGGUGAGUAACGCGUGGGAAUCUACCCUUCUCUACGGGACAGCUCCGGGAAACUGGAAUUAAUACCGUAUACGUCCUGAGGGAGAAAGAUUUAUCGGGGAAGGAUGAGCCCGCGUUGGAUUAGCUAGUUGGUGGGGUAAAGGCCUACCAAGGCGACGAUCCAUAGCUGGUCUAAGAGGAUGAUCAGCCACAUUGGGACUGAGACACGGCCCAAACUCCUACGGGAGGCAGCAGUGGGGAAUAUUGGACAAUGGGCGCAAGCCUGAUCCAGCCAUGCCGCGUGAGUGAUGAAGGCCCUGGGGUUGUAAAGCUCUUUCAGUGGGGACGAUAAUGACGGUACCCACAGAAGAAGCCCCGGCUAACUUCGUGCCAGCCGCCGCAGUAA
RNAcentral lists this ribosomal RNA (449 nucleotides) under uncultured bacterium. RNAcentral's name for it is "partial 16S ribosomal RNA". It matches the Rfam family "Bacterial small subunit ribosomal RNA", at positions 29 to 523 of the family's 1533-position model. The record is from RNAcentral.